This 490-nucleotide ribosomal RNA is filed under the name uncultured bacterium. Its description in RNAcentral is "partial 16S ribosomal RNA". It matches the Rfam family "Bacterial small subunit ribosomal RNA", at positions 30 to 507 of the family's 1533-position model. The record is from RNAcentral.
AUUGAACGCUGGCGGCAGGCUUAACACAUGCAAGUCGAGCGGUAGCACAAGAGAGCUUGCUCUCUGGGUGACGAGCGGCGGACGGGUGAGUAAUGUCUGGGAAACGGCCUGAUGGAGGGGGAUAACUACUGGAAACGGUAGCUAAUACCGCAUAACGUCGCAAGACCAAAGAGGGGGACCUUCGGGCCUCUUGCCAUCAGACGUGCCCAGAUGGGAUUAGCUAGUAGGUGGGGUAAUGGCUCACCUAGGCGACGAUCCCUAGCUGGUCUGAGAGGAUGACCAGCCACACUGGAACUGAGACACGGUCCAGACUCCUACGGGAGGCAGCAGUGGGGAAUAUUGCACAAUGGGCGCAAGCCUGAUGCAGCCAUGCCGCGUGUGUGAAGAAGGCCUUCGGGUUGUAAAGCACUUUCAGCGAGGAGGAAGGUGGUGAACUUAAUACGUUCAUCAAUUGACGUUACUCGCAGAAGAAGCACCGGCUAACUCCGUG